AUUGAACGCUGGCGGCAGGCCUAACACAUGCAAGUCGAACGGUAACAGGAAGAAGCUUGCUUCUUUGCUGACGGGUGGCGGACGGGUGAGUAAUGUCUGGGAAACUGCCUGAUGGAGGGGGAUAACUACUGGAAACGGUAGCUAAUACCGCAUAACGUCGCAAGACCAAAGAGGGGGACCUUCGGGCCUCUUGCCAUCGGAUGUGCCCAGAUGGGAUUAGCUAGUAGGUGGGGUAACGGCUCACCUAGGCGACGAUCCCUAGCUGGUCUGAGAGGAUGACCAGCCACACUGGAACUGAGACACGGUCCAGACUCCUACGGGAGGCAGCAGUGGGGAAUAUUGCACAAUGGGCGCAAGCCUGAUGCAGCCAUGCCGCGUGUAUGAAGAAGGCCUUCGGGUUGUAAAGUACUUUCAGCGGGGAGGAAGGGAGUAAAGUUAAUACCUUUGCUCAUUGACGUUACCCGCAGAAUAAGCACCGGCUAACUCCGUG
Molecule: ribosomal RNA, 490 nt
Filed under: uncultured bacterium
Lineage: Bacteria
Description: partial 16S ribosomal RNA
Rfam family: Bacterial small subunit ribosomal RNA
Source: RNAcentral